CUUUAUUUCUGCAUAGAAUUUUAUCUAACUUUGACCAUACCAAUAGAAGAGGACAGAGAAAGGGCGCCACAGAUAGAAGACUGUGAAGAAGGCCUUUGGCCAAAUCCACAAAGAAGAACCCAGCUCACUCACCUGCUUUUUCAAAACUGGACUUCCUUUCACUAAAAUCCCUUGAAUUUGUUACUUGUAGAACUUUAGGCCUAGGAAAAUAAUGUGUAUAUCUACCAAUGACCUAGCUGAACUACUGGAACUUUCUGCAGCAUCUUGCCUCAUAGUUGGGUGGGGAGGAGUGGGAGGUAAAGAGGGAGUUUGGUGGGACUGGUACAGUCAUAUCUGGCAAUUAGGGGAGGAAAUCAUGUUUGCAAUCCUUGAGCUAAUGGUAUAGCAAAGCUGUGAAUUUGUUCAUGAUUAAAGCUGGCAAGAGAGUUCUUGCUGAAGGCAAUGAAACAGUGAAGGCCAGAGGGAAGAGCCAGCACAGAGAGUUGUGGAGUCUUGCACUGCUGCACAUGGUAUGAUGAACAUGAUUCUGCUGUGGCUGCUGGGUAAUCCUUGUUGUCUCUGCCCUGGGCAAGGGUUUCCUCUGAAGGGUAAGAUCAACCCUUGCAUCAGCCUUUGAGGAAGUCAGGUGCUAUUGUGGGAAAAAGGAUGGGAAAUUGUCCCCAGGCCUGUAGCAGAGGGAGCUCGUACCUGG
This 691-nucleotide long non-coding RNA is filed under the name Marmota monax (woodchuck). Lineage: Eukaryota; Metazoa; Chordata; Mammalia; Rodentia; Sciuridae. The record is from RNAcentral.